This is a long non-coding RNA of Marmota monax (woodchuck), 2231 nucleotides long. RefSeq lists it as uncharacterized. NCBI's taxonomy places the organism in Eukaryota, Metazoa, Chordata, Mammalia, Rodentia, Sciuridae. The transcript is spliced from 3 exons. The record is from RefSeq and is a predicted model, not a curated record.
UUUCCUGUGGCUCUGGAUGCCUGUGAAAUAGCAUCACAAGAUAAACACCUCCAGAAGCUGGAGAAAGUGAGCUGAGAGGGAGGGGAGCCCUCUGAAAGAAGUGAUAUGCCCCAGGGUGAGGGGGCAGCGUGCAGAUGGCUUCAGAGGACAGCGACCAGACCAAGAUCUUCGAAAGACGGGCAAAUGAGGAAAACCUAGACUGCACAGACAGGUAUCAGAUCUGCACAAGAGACUGAAGACUUUCCUGCCUCCUCUCCAUUUUUUACUCUCCUCAAGCCUUCACCCAGGUAAAUCAGUCAUGUUUCUAACUCCAAUUCUGGCAUCUGCUUCCCGGUGACACCAAUUAGCACCUGGCCUUACUAAACUCCACUCACUGUCUCCUCUCUGUCAGGCCCAUGACUGAUGCACUUUGAUAUUCAUUUAAUAAAAUUUCACAAGAGUUAACAUAUUGACUUGGGGAGGAAAAAGUCCCUGGAUCCCUCCAGAGCUGCCCUGCCCAUGAUCGUACCCAACAAAGAAAUGGAACUCAGAGACCACAGUUCCUGUAGCAUCAUCCAAUACUCAUGCCCUGGCGCACCCGGGCCUGUGGAAGGGAUUCUAGGAAAACAGGUAAAGGUUGGCGAGAGUUGAGAAGCUGCUGGACUGUGGGGAACAAGAAGUGACAGUAACAGGAAGCCCAAGGCUCUGGAUUUUUUCAAUAGGACCUUAGGAAAACACAUUUAAUCCUAAUCAAUAGGAAGAAAACGUCCAAAGUCAUUGAAGACAAAAACAGUACCAGAAAAGUUCAAAGUCUAUUCAUUAACUCUAGAGUUCAGAUUUGUUAGCUGCAAGCCGGGCUAUUCAGCCUCCCCAACCUGAUCUGUGCAAUGAAGACGAGAAGAUGAAGUGGAAGAUGAUUCUCAGUUGCUUAGGUUGGGACAUGGGAUGUCUAAUGCACUUUUGGGAAAUAUCUAGUCUCUUGGGAACAAAGCUACAGUGAGUCUCUCUUCAAGGAAAACUGACAAGAGGCAUGCUUCUGAGCCUUCAGAGCUGAGGGCAAGGUCUGCAAUAGUGAUGUCAAAAUGCCAACCAGUGAAGAAACCUUUGGUGGACAGGCACACAAUCAGCCCUCUCUUAUGACAUCCUACUAUCUCCAUACAGUAGAUGUCACCAUGAGAUGAGCUGUGUUAACAGCAGAGUGAAUAGCCACUAACAAAAGGUGCAGAAAGAAACUGUGUGUGUAUCCAUGUACACAUGCGUUCAGAGAAAGGCACUUUCUUAACAACACUAGAAAGCUCAAAGAAAGUAGUUAAUUCAAUCACAUGUGCCAUAGGGUCUUUCAUUUUCAUUACUGAGGCUUCCUCAAAGUGAGUGUUGCAUAGAUGAACAGGAUGGAUAGAGUAUGGAUUGAUGGGUGAACGGAUGGAUGACUGAAGCUAAAACAAAGCUAUUUAAUUUAGACUUUGAACUUAAUAGCUCACAGUAUCAGAAGUUACUGAGCUAGAAAAGUUGAUCUGCUACUUUCUUACUGUAUUGGAAACACAAUUUUUCCAAGUUCCUCAUUUUGCUUAAAAUACGCCUUAGGGAAUAGUUAAAUUCAGAAUAGGGUCAAUAAUAAACUUUUAUGGAUUUUUGCCAAACUAAACGAAUAAGAAAUGAUCUGUUUGGAACGCUUACACUAGAAGUCAUGGGGUAAGCCCAGGAAGAAUCCAAACAAUUUAGAGAUUCACACUGACAGGGUGAGGAGUCUCUUAAUCCUUGAGUUUUAUAUUGAUAUCUGUAGGGAAAUGUGGCCUAUGAAUAAUAUUUAGACCACAGUUUUCAUCUUUACAGAGUUAAAAAUCUGGGUAGUUUUUAUGACUUGAAAUCUGGGCAGUUUUCAUGACUCAUACUUUUUUUUUUUUUUUUUUUUGUAAAUGGACACAACACAAUGCCUUUAUUUUUAUGUGGUGCUGAGAAUCGAACCCGGGUCCCAUGCCCGUGCUAGGCGAGCGCUCUACCGCUGAGCCACAAUCCCAGCCCAUGACUCAUACUUUUGUUAGGUCAUUAUUUUAAAGCCAUUUGUAAAAGUCUUUGAGGUUGGUGAUUUGUGCACAAUACUAGUGAAUUUUGUUAGAAAGCACAUCAAUUUAAACCCAGCUGCUAAACAAAAUGACAGCCUCACUUUUUUCAAUGCCUCCUCACAAGAUAUAUGUGUGUGUAUGUGUGUGUGUGUAUAGUGUAUAUAUAUGUGUGUAUGUGUGUGUGUGUGU